GCUUGUAUUUAGUUUCACUUGAAUUUACUAUACAUAUUUGUUUAAAAUUUUAAUAAUCCAAGUCACCCCCUCCUCUUGGCUUAUCUAGUUGGGCAACAAAUGGUAUCAGAGCUUGGUAUUCAGCUAAAAUUUGAUCUAAUGAUCAAGAGUAACGAUCAUAGUAACUCAACUGAGAGGUUCACUUAUCGAAGGACAAUGAACAAAUAGGCCACUACUUUUCAAUGGUUCCAACUAUAUCUAUUGAAAGGCUUGCAUGCACAUUUUCAUUCAAACUCUUGAUUAUGAUAUGUAGAGUAUCAUAAUCAAUGGGCCACACACAUCCAC
This 324-nucleotide long non-coding RNA is filed under the name Elaeis guineensis (African oil palm). RNAcentral describes it as "long non-coding RNA (EGUI_LNC022898)". Lineage: Eukaryota; Viridiplantae; Streptophyta; Magnoliopsida; Arecales; Arecaceae. The record is from RNAcentral.